AAACGGCUACCACAUCCAAGGAAGGCAGCAGGCACGCAAAUUACCCACUCCCGGCACGGGGAGGUAGUGACAAAAAAUAACGAUACGGGACUCAUCCGAGGCCCCGUAAUCGGAAUGAGAACACCCUAAAUCCUUUAACGAGGAUCUAUUGGAGGGCAAGUCUGGUGCCAGCAGCCGCGGUAAUUCCAGCUCCAAUAGCGUAUAUUAAAGUUGUUGCGGUUAAAAAGCUCGUAGUUGGUUCUGCGUGCCACGCUGUCGGUUCACCGCCUGUCGGUGCAACUGGCAUGCCGUGGCAUGUCCUGUCGGUGGCUGACAGGCUUCACGGCGCGCCCUAUGCGUUCACACGUGUAGGCUGCUGCGCCGCGUUGUCCUUGUAGGCCGGCUCAAUCCUACCGCGGUGCUCUUUGCCGAGUGUCGAGGUAGGCCGACACUGUUUACUUUGAACAAAUUAGAGUGCUUCAAGCAGGCUCUUAAAGCAGCCUGAAUAGUGGUGCAUGGAAUAAUGGAACAGGACCUUGGUUCUAUUUUGUUGGUUUCCGGAAUCCAAGGUAAUGAUCAAUAAGGACAGGCGGGGGCAUUCGUAUUGCGACGUUAGACUUGGCAAAUGCUUUCGCGGUGAAAUUCUUGGAUCGUCGCAAGACGCACUAGAGCGAAAGCAUUUGCCAAGUAUGUCUUAAUUGAUCAAGAACGAAAGUUAGAGGUUCGAAGGCGAUCAGAUACCGCCCUAGUUCUAACCAUAAACGAUGCCAGCCAGCGAUCCGCCGAUGUUCCUCCGAUGACUCGGCGGGGAGCUUUCCCCGGGAAACCAAAGCUUUUGGGUUCCGGGGGAAGUAUGGUUGCAAAGCUGAAACUUAAAGGAAUUGACGGAAGGGCACCACCAGGAGUGGAGCCUGCGGCUUAAUUUGACUCAACACGGGAAACCUCACCAGGCCCGGACAUUGGAAGGAUUGACAGAUCGAUAGCUCUUUCUCGAUUCAGUGGGUAGUGGUGCAUGGCCGUUCUUAGUUGGUGGACUGAUUUGUCUGGUUAAUUCCGAUAACGAACGAGACUCUGACCUAUUAACUAGGCGCUCCCGGUAUAAAUACCUACCGGCGAGAUUUAUUCUUCUU
This 1109-nucleotide ribosomal RNA is filed under the name Tessaratoma papillosa. RNAcentral describes it as "SSU rRNA". It matches the Rfam family "Eukaryotic small subunit ribosomal RNA", at positions 401 to 1412 of the family's 1831-position model. Lineage: Eukaryota; Metazoa; Arthropoda; Insecta; Hemiptera; Tessaratomidae. The record is from RNAcentral.